ACGCUGAUGUGACACGUG
This 18-nucleotide small nuclear RNA is filed under the name Arabidopsis thaliana (thale cress). RNAcentral's name for it is "snRNA_15708". The record is from RNAcentral. Lineage: Eukaryota; Viridiplantae; Streptophyta; Magnoliopsida; Brassicales; Brassicaceae.